GAGUUUGAUCCUGGCUCAGAUUGAACGCUAGCGGGAUGCCUUACACAUGCAAGUCGAACGGCAGCACGGACUUCGGUCUGGUGGCGAGUGGCGAACGGGUGAGUAAUGUAUCGGAACGUGCCUAGUAGCGGGGGGAUAACUACGCGAAAGCGUAGCUAAUACCGCAUACGCCCUACGGGGAAAGCAGGGGAUCGCAAGACCUUGCACUAUUAGAGCGGCCGAUAUCGGAUUAGCUAGUUGGUGGGGUAACGGCUCACCAAGGCGACGAUCCGUAGCUGGUUUGAGAGGACGACCAGCCACACUGGGACUGAGACACGGCCCAGACUCCUACGGGAGGCAGCAGUGGGGAAUUUUGGACAAUGGGGGAAACCCUGAUCCAGCCAUCCCGCGUGUGCGAUGAAGGCCUUCGGUUGUAAG
This 417-nucleotide ribosomal RNA is filed under the name uncultured microorganism. RNAcentral's name for it is "bacterial SSU rRNA". It matches the Rfam family "Bacterial small subunit ribosomal RNA", at positions 9 to 429 of the family's 1533-position model. The record is from RNAcentral.